GACUUGCAUGCCUAAUCCACGCCGCCAACGUUCGUUCUGAGCCACUGCCCAGACUCCUACGGGAGGCUGCAGUCGAGGAUCUUCCGCAAUGCGCGAAAGCGUGACGGAGCGACGCCGCGUGGGUGAUGAAGGCCUUCGGGUUGUAAAGCCCUGUCACCUGGGAAGAAUGACGGGAGGUGAACAAUCUCUCGUUUGACGCUACCAGGGGAGGAAGCACCGGCUAAAUACGUGCCAGCAGCCGCGGUAAUACGUAUGGUGCGAACGUUGUUCGGAAUUACUGGGCAUAAAGAGCACGUAGGCGGUUGAGCAAGUCCAUUGUGAAAUCCCCCGGCUUAACCGGGGAACCGCAGUGGAUACUACUUGACUUGAGUGCAGGAGGGGAGAGCGGAAUUCCAGGUGGAGCGGUGAAAUGCGUAGAUAUCUGGAGGAACGCCGGUGGCGAAAGCGACUCUCUGGUCUGUUACUGACGCUGAGGUGCGAAAGCUAGGGGAGCAAACGGGAUUAGAUACCCCGGUAGUCCUAGCCCUGAACGAUGGGCACUAAGUAGAGGGGUUUU
Molecule: ribosomal RNA, 556 nt
Filed under: uncultured Planctomycetota bacterium
Lineage: Bacteria; Pseudomonadati; Planctomycetota
Description: bacterial SSU rRNA
Rfam family: Bacterial small subunit ribosomal RNA
Source: RNAcentral